This 395-nucleotide unclassified non-coding RNA is filed under the name soil metagenome. RNAcentral's name for it is "partial contains 5.8S ribosomal RNA, internal transcribed spacer 2, and large subunit ribosomal RNA". The stretch from base 1 to 122 matches the Rfam family "5.8S ribosomal RNA", at positions 35 to 154 of the family's 154-position model. The record is from RNAcentral.
GAUGAAGAACGUAGCGAAAUGCGAUACUUGGUGUGAAUUGCAGAAUCCCGUGAACCAUCGAGUCUUUGAACGCAAGUUGCGCCCGAAGCCAUCAGGUUGAGGGCACGUCUGCCUGGGCGUCACAUAUCGUUGCCCAAUGCCUAUUGCAGUGCAAUAGGAAUUUUUAGGGCGAAUGAUGGCUUCCCGUGAGCGUUGUUGCCUCGCGGUUGGUUGAAAAUCGAGUCCUUGGUAGGGUGUGCCAUGGUAGAUGGUGGUCGAGUUAGAACGAUACCGAUCAUGUGCAUGCUCCCCAAAAUAUGGCCUCUAUGACCCACACGCGUCUUUUGACGCUCAUGACGAGACCUCAGGUCAGGCGGGGCUACCCGCUGAAUUUAAGCAUAUCAAUAAGCGGAGGA